Molecule: long non-coding RNA, 225 nt
Organism: Strongylocentrotus purpuratus (purple sea urchin)
Lineage: Eukaryota; Metazoa; Echinodermata; Echinoidea; Camarodonta; Strongylocentrotidae
Exons: 3
Source: RefSeq, a predicted model, not a curated record
AUUGUACCUGUGUACCUGGUUAUGAAGGCAAGAACUGUCAGAACGUGACCGUACCAUCUACCGAUACUCCAGCUUCUAACACUCCAACGGCAUCGAUGUCUUCACCAUCAUCAACCCCCUCAUCGACAGAACCUGUGACCGUACUAUCUACCGGUACUUCAGCUUCUAACCCUCCAACGGAAUCGACGUCUUCACCAUCAAUAACCCCCUUACCAACAGAACCUG